This 492-nucleotide ribosomal RNA is filed under the name uncultured bacterium. Its description in RNAcentral is "partial 16S ribosomal RNA". It matches the Rfam family "Bacterial small subunit ribosomal RNA", at positions 29 to 507 of the family's 1533-position model. The record is from RNAcentral.
AGUGAUCGCUGGCGGUAGGCCUAACACAUGCAAGUCGAACGGCAGCACAGUAAGAGCCUGCUCUUACGGGUGGCGAGUGGCGGACGGGUGAGGAAUACAUCGGAAUCUACUUUUUCGUGGGGGAUAACGUAGGGAAACUUACGCUAAUACCGCAUACGACCUACGGGUGAAAGCAGGGGAUCUUCGGACCUUGCGCGAUUGAAUGAGCCGAUGUCGGAUUAGCUAGUUGGCGGGGUAAAGGCCCACCAAGGCGACGAUCCGUAGCUGGUCUGAGAGGAUGAUCAGCCACACUGGAACUGAGACACGGUCCAGACUCCUACGGGAGGCAGCAGUGGGGAAUAUUGGACAAUGGGCGCAAGCCUGAUCCAGCCAUACCGCGUGGGUGAAGAAGGCCUUCGGGUUGUAAAGCCCUUUUGUUGGGAAAGAAAAGCAGCAGGUUAAUACCCCGCUGUUCUGACGGUACCCAAAGAAUAAGCACCGGCUAACUUCGUG